GCGCUUGCUUCAGCAGCACAUAAGCUAAAGUUGGAAUGUUACAGAGAAGAUUAGCAUGGCCCCCAUACAAGAAUGACAAAAAUUCAUUAGGCGUUCCACCUUGUU
Molecule: small nuclear RNA, 105 nt
Organism: Sorex araneus (European shrew)
Lineage: Eukaryota; Metazoa; Chordata; Mammalia; Eulipotyphla; Soricidae
Source: Ensembl